Molecule: ribosomal RNA, 663 nt
Filed under: Enterococcus sp.
Lineage: Bacteria; Bacillati; Bacillota; Bacilli; Lactobacillales; Enterococcaceae
Description: bacterial SSU rRNA
Rfam family: Bacterial small subunit ribosomal RNA
Source: RNAcentral
GUUUAUGCCGCAUGGCAUAAGAGUGAAGGCGCUUUCGGGUGUCACUGAUGKAUGGACCCGCGGUGCAUUAGCUAGUUGGUGAGGUAACGCUCACCAAGCACGAUGCAUAGCCGACCUGAGAGGUCGGCCACACUGGGACGAGACACGGCCCAGACUCUACGGGAGGCAGCAGUAGGGAAUCUUCGGCUGGACGAAAGUCUGACCGAGCAACGGCGUGAGUGAAGAAGGUUUUCGGAUCGUAAAACUCUGUUGUUAGAGAAGAACAAGGACGUUAGUAACUGAACGUCCCCUGACGGUAUCUAACCAGAAAGCCACGGCUAACUAGUGCCAGCAGCCGCGGUAAUACGUCAAGCGUUGUCCGGAUUUAUUGGGCGUAAAGCGAGCGCAGGCGGUUUCUUAAGUCUGAUGUGAAAGCCCCCGGCUCAACCGGGGGGGUCAUUGGAAACUGGGAGACUUGAGUGGAAGAGGAGAGUGGAAUUCCAUGUGUAGCGGUGCGUAGAUAUAUGGAACACCAGUGAAGGCGGCUCUCUGGUCUGUAACUGACGCUGAGGCUCGAAAGCGGGGAGCAAACAGGAUUAGAUACCCUGGUAGUCCACGCCGUAAACGAWRARUGSUAAGUGUUGGAGGGUUUCCGCCCUUCAGUGCUGCAGCAAACGCAUAACC